RNAcentral lists this transfer RNA (74 nucleotides) under Microcaldota archaeon. RNAcentral describes it as "Candidatus Micrarchaeota archaeon (hot springs metagenome) tRNA-Gln". The stretch from base 15 to 74 matches the Rfam family "tRNA". From Rfam's summary of the family: Transfer RNA (tRNA) molecules are approximately 80 nucleotides in length. Lineage: Archaea; Nanobdellati; Microcaldota. The record is from RNAcentral.
GGCCAAGAGGCGAAAGCCUGGUAAGAUAACGGGCUCUGGACCCGUUGACGUCGGUUCGAAUCCGACCGGGGCUA